Molecule: long non-coding RNA, 832 nt
Organism: Prinia subflava (tawny-flanked prinia)
Lineage: Eukaryota; Metazoa; Chordata; Aves; Passeriformes; Cisticolidae
Exons: 3
Source: RefSeq, a predicted model, not a curated record
GCCUUUCGGGGCCGGCCCGCGCUCCGCGCUGAGGGCGGGCGGUGGCGCGGGGCACCACGGGAAGGGCUUUUCCCGCCGCCCGGGCCGGGAGAGGAGGAGGCGGCGCGGGGGCAGCGAGCGCGUCGGGCGAGCGGGGCAGCGGCGCACGGCAACCCAGAGCCUUCUAGGAUGUGACCAUGGAGUGCCUGUCACUGCCAGUGACCUCCUUAGAAGCCCCAGAGAGCUCUGCGAGGUCACCGUGGAAGCCCUGUGAGUGCAGCCUUCAACACCUUUGGAGGAUGUCGCUGUAGAUCCUGUGAGUGCCUGUGACAUUGCAGCUUUUUAACAGCAUGGAGACUUCUAGGAUGUCACCGUGGAACCCCUGUGAGUGCCUGUGACCUCACGGCUGCUUAGCAGCCUGGAGACACUUGUGAUGCUGCCAUUGAGACCCUGUGACAGUCUGUGAGGUCAGUGUGGGUUGGCAAAGGGGAGACUCCUGGGAUGUUCCCAUGGAACCCCUGGGAUUGCCCAUGCCCUCAGUGUUCUUUAGGAGCUUGGAGACCGCUGGGAUGUCACCACAGAACCUCAGUGAGUGCCUGUGCCAAAUGGGCUCCUUAACAUGUAGAGACAUCUCUGUUGUCCUCAUGGAUGCUGGUGACUGCCUGGGACCUCGCAAGUCUUUGGAAGAUGAAGGAGCUGUGGCGUGUCACCAUGGAGUCACUGUGCCUGUUUGUGAUCUCUGUGCUUUUGAUCAGGCUGGAGACAACUGUGAUGUCACCAGGGACUGGAGUGGGGGCGUGGUGGUUGAGGGAGGUGAGGGUGAGGGGAGGAACGUGUGGCAGGACUCGCUGGG